GCAAGUCGCACGAGAACGCUUCUGCUUGCAGAAGCUAGUAAAGUGGCGCACGGGUGAGUAACGCGUGGGUAAUCUACCUUCAAAUCGGGGAUAACAUUGCGAAAGCGAUGCUAAUACCGGAUGACAUCUAAUGGACUUCGGUUCAUAAGAUCAAGGGGGGCCUCUAUAUAUAAGCUUCCGUUUGAAGAUGAGCCCGCGUACCAUUAGCUUGUUGGUAGGGUAACGGCCUACCAAGGCAACGAUGGUUAGCUGGUCUGAGAGGAUGAUC
Molecule: ribosomal RNA, 268 nt
Filed under: uncultured bacterium
Lineage: Bacteria
Description: partial 16S ribosomal RNA
Rfam family: Bacterial small subunit ribosomal RNA
Source: RNAcentral